Molecule: ribosomal RNA, 483 nt
Filed under: uncultured bacterium
Lineage: Bacteria
Description: partial 16S ribosomal RNA
Rfam family: Bacterial small subunit ribosomal RNA
Source: RNAcentral
AUUGAACGCUGGCGGCAUGCUUUACACAUGCAAGUCGAACGGCAGCGCGGGCUUCGGCCUGGCGGCGAGUGGCGAACGGGUGAGUAAUGCAUCGGAACGUGCCCAGUAGUGGGGGAUAGCCCGGCGAAAGCCGGAUUAAUACCGCAUACGACCUGAGGGUGAAAGCGGGGGACCGAAAGGCUUCGCGCUAUUGGAGCGGCCGAUGUCGGAUUAGCUAGUUGGUGGGGUAAAGGCUUACCAAGGCGACGAUCCGUAGCUGGUCUGAGAGGACGACCAGCCACACUGGGACUGAGACACGGCCCAGACUCCUACGGGAGGCAGCAGUGGGGAAUUUUGGACAAUGGGGGCAACCCUGAUCCAGCCAUGCCGCGUGCGGGAAGAAGGCCUUCGGGUUGUAAACCGCUUUUGUUCGGGAAGAAAUCCUCUGGGCUAAUACCCCGGGGGGAUGACGGUACCGGAAGAAUAAGCACCGGCUAACUACGU